AUUGAAUAAUGUAAUUGAAAAAAUGUAAUUGAAAUUCCAAACCCAAUUACGAUUCUGGUCAUUUUUAUAAUUUUUGAAAACUGCAUCGCCAUAAAGAACUUACAAAAAAAAUAUCUAAAGAAAUUGAAGAUGGGUAAAAUUAAGUCAUUCAAAUUCUAACUUAAAUAUGUGUGUACUGAAGUAAGAAGGAAUUAGGAGGAAGAAGGAAUUAGUAAGAAGGAAUUUAAAUGAAAUAGAUGGCUUUAUCAGUGAUAAAUAAUAUUCACGGACAGAUUCAUUGCACUCUUGUGUGCAAUUUACAGGAGGUCUAAGCUACAACAAAGUGGAUGACACGACCAGAGACCAUGACUUUUUUCUUAAAACUCAGCCUCUGGCUCAGCCAGGAGGAGAUUUAUGGAAACGGUAGUGCAAGGUAGAGGGUGAAGAGGUCGACCAAAGAAAACACGGAUGGAGUGGAUGACGAUAUGAGAGGGAGAGAGGAGUGAGUGUUGAAAUGACGGCUGAUAGAAGAGAAUGAGAGAGAGAAAAAUUAGCUGUGCUGACCCCAGCUAGUGGGAUAAGGUGGAGAAAAAGAAGAGAAGAAAGGCUCAGCCAGGAGUGCCCGAGUGCAUCCAAAGGAGACCUAGUAACUCAAGAGCA
This is a long non-coding RNA of Bombyx mori (domestic silkworm), 639 nucleotides long. RefSeq lists it as uncharacterized. Lineage: Eukaryota; Metazoa; Arthropoda; Insecta; Lepidoptera; Bombycidae. The transcript is spliced from 2 exons. The record is from RefSeq and is a predicted model, not a curated record.